GAGGGCUGUGGUUGCUUUUCUCAGGUUGUUACAAUAAGGUUUUCUGUCUUCACUGAUUUCUGAUUCCAAGUGCCCCUGUGAUGGACUUUGUACAUAAGACAGCUUAGGUCAGCUUCCUUUUUGCUGUGUGCUGGGGGCAGCAUGGAAAGAAAAAGCAGGAAGUGGACAGACAGCUAUAUUCUUCUUUCCCUUUAGAACUCUGUGUUCCUCGUAUAUCUGUAUCUAGCCCACCAUUUCUUCUUUCUUUAAUGAUUUAAAAAAUGAAUUUGGCCUCACGCUUUUAUCCUGUGUCCUUUUAGUGAAAAAGAAGGGUGUGUACAGAUGUCACUGCCCUGGAGUUCCUGGAAGCAGGCUCAUUAUAUGCUUUUCCAGGGAAAUUUGCAGAGAAAUGGACCUUUAUAGAUGCUCAGAAGCAUUCCCUACGUGAGUUUGGCUGAUAGUUUUAUGUACAGCAAUUUUGAUUAAUUGGUAUCAGGAACUGUAAACAGUCAAAGAUUUUGCCCUCUUGCAAUUUAAUGAAUUAGCUGGCCACAGUUGUGUGGAUGCCAGCAGAGGCUGGAAAUUCCUGAGUGAGAGACAAAGAACUUGAUUACUCACAGCACUGGUGGUGGCCAGAAUAUCAGUGAUUUCUUGUACACUUUCUCCAAGCUUCAGUUCUCAUCAUGCGAUGCAAACAGGACAAGGUGACACAUGCACAUAUAGGAAGGAGAAGACCUCAGAGCUUAAGGAACUCACAUCUUUUACUGAGGGCAAUAAGCAUGCUAAUCCUGUGCGCCAAAGGGCCACACACUCUCUGUCUCCCAAGGCUGUUCCCUAAACAAAAAUCCUUGAAAAGGUAUUCUAGAACAAAGACAGUCUGUGCCUCUGUUUGCAAGAUACACAGACACACCAGCCACCCCUAGAGAACUGCCUCCUGAGAGUGAGUCAGGAACAAGAGGAGGCACUCACGGAGGUGCAGAUAAAGCUGGAUGCUGAGGGAGACAGUGGACUUCAUAAAUUUCCCUAGAUCCCAUCUUGAGUUUAGUAGGGACUUGUUCUCAAGGCUUGAAGAUACCAUCCUGCCUUCCCUUCCUCUCAGGUUCUUCACCCGUGCUGUGC
Bos taurus (domestic cattle) is the source of this 1098-nucleotide long non-coding RNA. NCBI's taxonomy places the organism in Eukaryota, Metazoa, Chordata, Mammalia, Artiodactyla, Bovidae. The record is from Ensembl.